CAGUUCGGAUUGUAGUCUGCAACUCGCUACAUAAAGCUGGAAUCGCUAGUAAUCGUGAAUCAGCAAUGUCACGGUGAAUACGUUCCCGGGUCUUGUACUCACCGCCCGUCACACCAUGGGAGUUGUAUUCGCCUUAAGUCGGGAUACUAAAUUGGUUACCGCCCACGGCGGAUGCGGCGACUGGGGUGAAGUCGUAACAAGGUAUC
This 206-nucleotide ribosomal RNA is filed under the name uncultured bacterium. RNAcentral's name for it is "partial 16S ribosomal RNA". It matches the Rfam family "Bacterial small subunit ribosomal RNA", at positions 1289 to 1500 of the family's 1533-position model. The record is from RNAcentral.